RNAcentral lists this ribosomal RNA (3002 nucleotides) under Promethearchaeota archaeon. Its description in RNAcentral is "Candidatus Lokiarchaeota archaeon (microbial mat metagenome) 23S ribosomal RNA". It matches the Rfam family "Archaeal large subunit ribosomal RNA". Lineage: Archaea; Promethearchaeati; Promethearchaeota. The record is from RNAcentral.
AUUUGGUGGAUAUCUCGGCUUGGGCACCGAAGAAGAGCGUGACAAGCUGCGAUAAGCUCGGGUUAGUCGCAUGUAGACGUAGACCCCGAGAUUCUUCAAUAGGACAUCCGCUUGCGGCUCAAUAAUCCGCAAGAUUCUCCUGUGAGAAGGGGAACCCUGAGAAGUAAAACAUUUUAGUAUCAGGAGGAAAAGAAAACAAAAGUGAUUCCGUAAGUAACGGCGAGCGAAAGCGGAACAGAUCAAACCGAAUCCCCAGAGAAAUCUGGUGGAAAUGUGGUGUGUGGGCCUAGUACGACCUCACUAAAGAAGGUGAAUAUUUCUGAAAUGUCAAGCCAUAGAGCGUGAUAGCCGCGUAACCAUAAUUUAGAAGGUUGCUGCAAGUGUCCCCGAGUAGUGCGGGAUAGUUUUCUCGUAUGAAAAUACCAGAUACAUACUGGUAAAUCUAAAUAUGUCCCAAGACCGAUAGUGCAAUAGUAGCGUGAGCGAAAGAUGAAAAGUAACCCGGAAGGGCCGUGAAAAGUGCUUGAAACCAAAUAGUUUAGUAAGGAAGCGGCGUGAAAGGAGAGAUUCUGCACGAAUGAGUUCCGGUGACGGAAUAUCAUAAUGCAGAGGACUAUCGUCGCUUCAUCAGUCUGGAAUCAUUGGCCAGGGAGUUUACAGUAGUGGCGAGCUUAAGUGGAUCACUCCACGGAGGCAUAGGGAAACCAAUAUUCCUGCAACCUAAUUAUCACAUUAUGCUGACCUACUCGUUUGCGAACGGUUUUGCCGUUUUAAAAACGCUUAGUAAGGCUUUCUAAGGGAUUAGGCCAGAGGAACGGUCUUCAAGGGCCUAAAGUCUCUGCUGUAAUACCCGAAGCCGGUCGAUCUAUUCCUGGUUAAGAUGAAGUCGUUCGAAAGGACGAUGGAGGUCUGCACCAGUGCUGACGUGCAAUUCGCUUGGAUGAACUGGGAAUAGGAGCAAAAGGCUAAUCUAGAUCGGUAAUAGCUGGUUCCUCCCGAAGUUGGUCUCAGCCAAGUCUCAGACGAAGUCGCCAGUGGGGUAGAGCACUAAUAGGGAAGUACGGAGGAGAAAUCCUUCGCUUGCCUCUUAAACUCCGAAACUGCUGGCACUAAAGACUCUGGGAAACGGGUUGGUGGGCGUAAAGUCCAUCGCCGAGAAGGGAACAACCUAGACUUGGGUUAAGGUCCCUAAGUGCAGGUUAAGUGUUAAACUAAAGGGCGUUAUAUUUCGAAGACAGCAAAAGGAUAGGUAUAGAAGUAGCCACUCCCUAACGAGUGUGUAACAACUCAUUUGCCGAGAAAUAUAGCCCCGAAAAUGGACGGGGCUCAAAUCUGCCACCGAGACCCAAGGGCACGGAAAGAAGAAUUCCGUGAUCCGGUAGGGAGGCGUCCGGGUGGGACAGAAGCAGGUGCGUGAGUUCCUGUGGACCGACCUGGAGCGCAGAUCCUGGUAAUAGUAAAAGCAAAGAUGGGUUAGAAUCCCAUCCGCCGAAAGGGCAAGGGUUUCUUCGCAAUGCGUCGUCAGCGAAGAGUUAGUCGAUCCUAAGCGCAUCCUUAACUGGCGUGCGCGAAAGGGAAACAGGUUUAUAUUCCUGUACCACGGCACUACGCUUGCGGUGACGCAUGGCUUCAUGCAGACGGUUCCGGGGAAGCGGAAUAGGGCUGUCGAAUAUCUCCCUAUUUAAAUGUAUACAGCUGGUGAAUAGAGUAAAUCUUAGACCCAGCUUAAACCAUGAAUAGCCAUCCAAAUGUGGAAGGUUCCGCUGUGCCCAGGACUUAAUAAAAACGCAGAAGCAAGAAAUGCCGUGAUCGUACCCAGAACCGACACAGGUGCCCCUAGGUGAGCAGCCUUAGGCGUGUUCGUGUAAAGGAGGCUAGGGAAAUCGACAAAUUAGAGCCGUAACUUUGGGAUAAGGCUUGCUUGCGAACUUCCACACGCAUUAGUGUGCGGGGGCUCUCAAGUCGCAGUAACUAGGGGGGGACGACUGUUUAAUAAAAACAUAGGUCUCUGAUAGAGCGAAAGCUUUCUUACAGAGGCUGAAACCUGGCCAGUAGCAGUCAGAUAAACACGGGUUACAACCCGAAUAAGUCCUGCUAAACGCCGGGAGUAACUAUAACUCUCUUAAGGUAGCCAUAUGCCUUGUCUGGUAAGUUCAGACGUGCAUGAAUGGUCCAACGUUCUCCCUAUUGUCCCAGCCUUCUGACGAUUGAAAUUACACUCCGGCGAACGGUCCGGAGAUACCUGGUGGGACGAGAAGACCCCGUGGAGUUUUACUGCAACUUGUUGUUGCGGAUUGGGAUGGAAUGCAGAGUGUAGUCGGGAGCGUAGAUCCCCUAAUUUCGGUUAGGGAGGAGCACACUUGGAAUACCGGCCUUCCCAUUCUGAUCCGCUAACGGCGCAAAAACGUGUCGGACAUCAGCAGGCGGGCAGUUUGGCUGGGGCGGCUCACUCCAGAAAAGAUAUCUGGAGUAACCAAAGGUCAGCUCAAGCGGGUCAGGAAUCCGCUGUAGAGUUUAAGAGCAAAAGCUGGCCUGACUGGGUUCUGACAACCAAGGAACCCUGAGGCUAACGCCGGGUCUAGCGAUCGUUAGGUAGCCUUAUGUGGGCACUUGACGUGAUAGAAAAAUUACCCCGGGGGUAACAGAGUUGUCACGAGUGAGAGUUCAUAUCGACCUCGUGGCUUGCUUCCUCGAUGUCGGCUCUUCCUAUCCUGGAAGCGCACCUAACUUCCAAGGGUGGGGCUGUACGCCCAUUAAAAGGGAACGUGAGCUGGGUUUAGACCGUCGUGAGACAGGUCGGAUUCUAUCUACCAGGUACGUGGGAGGACUGAGGGUAACGGAAAAUCAGUACGAGAGGAACAUUUUGCGGGCGCCGCUGGUGUACCGGUUGUCUGACAAGGCAUCGCCGGGUAGCUACGCGCCAACGGAUAAGUGCUGAAAGCAUCUAAGCACGAAGCCGGACCCGAAAAGAGUCCUCCAAUCUCAUUUCAGAGCGAUAAGAA